GGAUGUGAGGGCGAUCUGGCUGCGACAUCUGUCACCCCAUUGAUCGCCAGGGUUGAUUCGACUGAUCUGGCUGGCUAGGCGGGUGUCCCCUUCCUCCCUCACCACUCCAUGUGCGUCCCUCCUGAAGCUGCGCACUCGGUGGAAGAGGACGACCAUCCCAGAUAGAAGGAGUGUACCGUUCUUCGGUCAAGGGUAUACGAUAGCUGCGCUCCCCUGCUAGAACCUCCAAACAAGCUCACAAUGUCCAACAUAUUGCCACAGCUCUUACUUGGUCUCUGUCUCAAAGACAUGACAGUGAUA
Non-coding RNA from Podarcis lilfordi (Lilford's wall lizard), 300 nucleotides. NCBI's taxonomy places the organism in Eukaryota, Metazoa, Chordata, Lepidosauria, Squamata, Lacertidae. The record is from the annotation of a GenBank genome assembly.